UAGGGAAUCUUCGGCAAUGGGGGGAACCCUGACCGAGCAACGCCGCGUGAGUGAAGAAGGUUUUCGGAUCGUAAAGCUCUGUUGUUAAGGAAGAACGAGUGUGAGAAUGGAAAGUUCAUGCUGUGACGGUACUUAACCAGAAAGGGACGGCUAACUACGUGCCAGCAGCCGCGGUAAUACGUAGGUCCCGAGCGUUGUCCGGAUUUAUUGGGCGUAGAGCGAGCGCAGGCGGUUAGAAAAGUCUGAAGUGAAAGGCAGUGGCUCAACCAUUGUAGGCUUUGGAAACUGUUUAACUUGAGUGCAGAAGGGGAGAGUGGAAUUCCAUGUGUAGCGGUGAAAUGCGUAGAUAUAUGGAGGAACACCGGUGGCGAAAGCGGCUCUCUGGUCUGUAACUGACGCUGAGGCUCGAAAGCGUGGGGAGCGAACAGG
This 429-nucleotide ribosomal RNA is filed under the name Bacteroidota bacterium. RNAcentral describes it as "Bacteroidetes bacterium partial 16S ribosomal RNA". It matches the Rfam family "Bacterial small subunit ribosomal RNA", at positions 355 to 776 of the family's 1533-position model. RNAcentral also lists the same sequence under 1 other name. Lineage: Bacteria; Pseudomonadati; Bacteroidota. The record is from RNAcentral.